Long non-coding RNA from Asparagus officinalis (garden asparagus), 1726 nucleotides. RefSeq lists it as uncharacterized. NCBI's taxonomy places the organism in Eukaryota, Viridiplantae, Streptophyta, Magnoliopsida, Asparagales, Asparagaceae. The transcript has 3 exons. The record is from RefSeq and is a predicted model, not a curated record.
UUGAUUAGAUGAUUCCUUUCUGUAUCUGCUGAAUACUAGAAAAAAGGGCUAUAUUAGAAAGUAUUUGAAGUGAUAAUCUAAUGUAUAUUUUUAUUUUAUCAUUUAUAUCCUAUGUCCUGUGCUUUGUGUAUUCCCCCCCUAAUCCUAUGUUAUUUAUCUAAUUUGAGACUCGAUUAUUGUUUAUUUAUUUUAGUGCUGUGGUAUCAUUGAUCCUAAUUUCUGCUUUUGUAGUAAAUGAAACCAGAAAUUUGAGGACUGAAAGUGGAAGUUGGAAUUUAAGAGAAAUACAUGGAGGAAUUCCUUUUGUUUCUUCCUCAUUUUGGGCAUGAUGAUAUUAUUCUCCUAACCUUCAUUUUUGGUUUCUCUUACAAAAAUCUACUGUUUUAUUUUGUUUGAUUGUAAUUAAUUGCUUCAAAUUUCGAUCAGACAUAUUGUUAUUUUAGCCUAGGAGCUUUUUUGCUCAGCUAAUUAGAGACGAGGAACCCAGGAAAAUUUUCCUUUUGGAGAAGCCAGUUUCUGUAUUAUUUUCGUUUGUAUUCAUAUGUUACUGUGACUUAAGCCUUAGAUCAUCUCCAAUCCAUUGCACCAAAAUGGUACAAAUUUUGCAUCAAAAUGGUGCAAAAGUCACAUCAAACAGUAAUACAUCUCCAACCCAUUGCACCAUUUUUUACACCAAAAAAGAAUAUUCUCAGUAUAUUCUCAGUUUAUUCCCUUUUAUCUAUUUUUAUAUUAAUUGAGAGAUAAAAACAAACAUUUAAAAAAAAAUUUAAAAAGUGAACAAAUGGGGCGGAUGAACAAUGCGACGCCAUAUUUGGUGCAGCACUGUUCAUCUGCACCAAAAUGGAGCAGAAAAUAGGGCUGGUUUGGAGAAUGAAUAGUACAACAAAAAGCACUGUUUGCACCAAAAUGGGGCUGGGUUGGAGAUGCCCUUAGAAAGCCUGUUUCUAUCCAUUUAUAUCCUAGAAAAAUUUUCACUGUUUUCUCGCGUUCUGAUUUCAUGGUAAUUUUAAUUUGAUUUCAUGUUUUAAGGCAUUUGGGACUAGAAAUUUUGCUUGUAUCUUAUCAAUAUUUCUUGAUGCAGUAUGUAUGGAUGGUAGCCCACCUGGUUACCACAUUCAUCAUGGAUUUGGGUCAGGAGCAAAUAAUUGGCUCGUUAACUUAGAGGUCUGUAGACAUUACAUUAUAACAUUAAAUAUAAGUUAUUAGAAUAGUCCAAAAACAUAUUUCUGUUUUGAAACUCGUGUUAUAAGGUCAUAGGGAGGAGGCUGGUGCAAUAACCUAAGAACAUGUACUUACUGAAAGAAAUCACACCGUGGUUCAUCCUACUAUAUGGAGAAGGAGAUUUCAUUCACUGGAAUAAUGAGUGACAAACGUGAAGAGAAUCCUGACUUCUAUAAUUGGAACAGAGUUAAGGUUCGCUAUUGUGAUGGUGCGUCAUUCACCGGGGAAGGCUACAAUAGGCGGAAAGGGCUCUCUUUGUCUGGAACAACGAGCACUUUGUGCGAAUGGCAUAGUGAUGCAUAGAGGACAUGCUUCCUUCAUUAGUCCAAGCCAUCGAGAACAUUCAGAUUGUCAUUAAGAGCUUUGUACAGAUUAUCAUUAAGAAUAUCUGUGUACAGAUUAUCAUUAAGAAUUUCUGUUAGGUGACUCUAGAACAUUCAGAAUUCUAAUCUUUGUUCAUCAAGAAAAUUGAUUUUAGUCAUCAGAAUUGGGAUAUUUCUUCUUA